UACGUAGGGUGCGAGCGUUACUCGGAAUUACUGGGCGUAAAGCGUGCGCAGGCGGUUCGUUGUGUCUGUGGUGAAAGCCCCGGGCUUAACCUGGGAAUGGCCAUGGAAACUGGCGAGCUGGAGUGUGGCAGAGGGGGGUGGAAUUCCGCGUGUAGCAGUGAAAUGCGUAGAGAUGCGGAGGAACACCGAUGGCGAAGGCAGCCCCCUGGGUUGACACUGACGCUCAGGCACGAAAGCGUGGGGAGCAAACAGG
RNAcentral lists this ribosomal RNA (253 nucleotides) under uncultured bacterium. Its description in RNAcentral is "partial 16S ribosomal RNA". It matches the Rfam family "Bacterial small subunit ribosomal RNA", at positions 524 to 776 of the family's 1533-position model. The record is from RNAcentral.